GACGAACGCUGGCGGCGUGCCUAAUACAUGCAAGUAGAACGCACAGUUUAUACCGUAGCUUGCUACACCAUAGACUGUGAGUUGCGAACGGGUGAGUAACGCGUAGGUAACCUGCCUGGUAGCGGGGGAUAACUAUUGGAAACGAUAGCUAAUACCGCAUAAUAUUAAUUAUUGCAUGAUAAUUAAUUGAAAGGUGCAAUUGCACCACUACCAGAUGGACCUGCGUUGUAUUAGCUAGUAGGUGAGGUAACGGCUCACCUAGGCGACGAUACAUAGCCGACCUGAGAGGGUGAUCGGCCACACUGGGACUGAGACACGGCCCAGACUCCUACGGGAGGCAGCAGUAGGGAAUCUUCGGCAAUGGACGAAAGUCUGACCGAGCAACGCCGCGUGAGUGAAGAAGGUUUUCGGAUCGUAAAGCUCUGUUGUAAGAGAAGAACGGGUGUGAGAGUGGAAAGUUCACACUGAGACG
This 472-nucleotide ribosomal RNA is filed under the name Streptococcus gordonii. RNAcentral describes it as "bacterial SSU rRNA". It matches the Rfam family "Bacterial small subunit ribosomal RNA", at positions 28 to 474 of the family's 1533-position model. The record is from RNAcentral. Lineage: Bacteria; Bacillati; Bacillota; Bacilli; Lactobacillales; Streptococcaceae.